UGUGCUCAGAAGCCCCUACACCAGCUGCUGCGUGAUGGAGAACAGGAGUCAAAGCACGGAGGCCGGCAGAAAAUCAAGAGGCCGGUCCUGUGCAUGGGCAAGAGGCCUCAGGGAUAUAUUAGCUGAGGAGGAAGCCGAGGUUGGGAAAGGUGGAGGGACUUGCCCAAGUCACACAAACGACAACUCAGCAGAGCUGAGAAUUGGCACCCAGGGCAACUGGAGUCCAUCCUGAGCUUGUCACUGCUGGGCUCUGAGACCUCCUGGUGAAGAAGGACAGUGGCAGAGACAGCCCGACCCAGAGAAACCCAGCAACGCUACUUUCUAAGGGCAUUUUUCCCUCUCAUUUGGAAUCCUGAGCCUCCUGCUCGUCCUGUAGGCCACACCCAGCAAACAGGUGGGUUUCAUUUCCUGGAGAAACCACAGAUGGAAAGUCCCAGCCAUGGGCUCCGUGUGACCUGGUGGCCUUAAGAAGCUCCCCCCACCGCCCCUCAGCCCUUUAAUCAUUUACAAAGCAGGGCCACACAGAGCAUCUAUUUUCUUUCUGGAACAUCAGAGCUGGCUGGGAACUGGGAGAAGAGCUGGAGCAACAGCCUGCAUCCAUUUCCUCUUGCUGCAAUAACAACUGAUCACAAGAUGGAGUCUCACUCUGUCAACCAGGCUGGAGUGCACUGGC
Molecule: long non-coding RNA, 673 nt
Filed under: Homo sapiens (human)
Lineage: Eukaryota; Metazoa; Chordata; Mammalia; Primates; Hominidae
Description: HSALNT0355192
Source: RNAcentral